Long non-coding RNA from Crotalus tigris (Tiger rattlesnake), 1312 nucleotides. RefSeq lists it as uncharacterized. The transcript is spliced from 3 exons. The record is from RefSeq and is a predicted model, not a curated record. NCBI's taxonomy places the organism in Eukaryota, Metazoa, Chordata, Lepidosauria, Squamata, Viperidae.
GUUGAGUCUGCCUUUUCUCUCACUCGGUGAGUUGCCAUUAGCACCGCUGACAGUUACUAGAUAAAGUUAAAGACUCAUGCAGUGAUCUGCACCCUAAUUGGACUGUAAUGUAUAGCCUCAGUCAGGCAAAUCUCUCCAUAGACGGCAAUCAAGCCAUUUAGGGAAGAUGCAUCGGCUGCCAGCACCCUGGAGUAACCUUAAGCUACGCUGGCCUUUUAGCAGCAAACACAAUUAAUUUUGAUACUGAAGGGCAAUUAGGACUGGGGUUAAAAUGGAAAGAGGCUGUGGGGGGGGGCACAGAAAUAUUCCAAACAGAGAAUGCCAAAGAUUGCAGAAGGGAAAACGGUUUUCCUGGAAUUCUGUCCCCCUCUGCAAAUGCCUGGUGCCUCGUUUCCUGCAGCAUCUGAAGCAUUGCUAAAGGAAGACUUUUGUCCCUUCUGUGACCGUCAAUAAAGAGAAGUUUGGGUAUAUGCAUCACAUAUUGAGUCAGCUCAGUGAUGCCACGUGAGCCUUCUGAAUGUGUCAGAAUGCUUCAUCAUCCAAGGCAGAAGGAAGGUGGUGGAACCUUAUCCGUUGUGAAUAUGGAUUCUCAGCAGGCUGGGCCUCUAAAGUAACUUCAGCUGUAGCAGCUUCUGCCAAGUGGUCUCAAAGUAUCCCUCUAAUUCCUGGAUGGAGUCCCACCUGCCUCACCCUGCAGCGAGCCAAGUUGGAGACCCUCAUCCCAGGGUUGAAGACAUACGCCUGGCACCAUAUCAAAUACUUAACCUUUAGCACCUCCCAUUUUUGUACAGCCGAGAGAGAACUCCUUGGAAGUGCACCAGAGGAAAAGCAAGUGGACAAAAUAGUCCGCUGCCCUUUGGGGCCAACGAAGAGACUCCGUGUUGUUCAUGCAUUACAUUUCAAUGAUGCCUCAGUGGCUUCAUUGGGAGAAGGAGGUGGAUGAGGAGGGAGAAUAGGACUCAGGAAUCGCCUGGCUUUACAUACGUCGGUUCAAGAUGAGAUGCCAGAUUGUCAAAACACAAACGAGAUGGCAGGGAAAAAGGUGAGCUGGGCAACCGAUCUGUCAAGCGCUUGCCUAGAGGGCAGGUCCCAAUUGGACCUUGUCCAAGGCUGUGGGCAGGAGAAAGAAAAGAGCCAGGCUGCUUAUUGAAAAGAAUAUUCUAUUAAUAAUUUCCCUCGGUGUUUAAAUAUCUUCCUUUUGACUAUGCACUUUCAGCACUUCAGGAAUUCUGGAAUGAAAGGGAAGAAGUUGCUGGGGAAAUGACACCUUACUUCAGUGGUUCUCAACCUGUGGGUCGGGACCCCAUUUGGG